GAGUUUGAUCGUGGCUCAGAACGAACGCUGGCGGCAGGCUUAACACAUGCAAGUCGAACGGACGUAGCAAUACGUUAGUGGCGCACGGGUGAGUAACGCGUGGAUAUCUGCCUUUUGGUUCGGGAUAACCUUGGGAAACUAGGGCUAAUACCGAAUGGUUCCUACGGGAUAAAGAUUUAUCGCCAAAAGAUGAGUCCGCGUCCGAUUAGCUAGUUGGUGGGGUAACGGCCCACCAAGGCGACGAUCGGUAGCUGGUCUGAGAGGACGAUCAGCCACACUGGGACUGAGACACGGCCCAGACUCCUACGGGAGGCAGCAGUGGGGAAUAUUGGGCAAUGGGCGCAAGCCUGAUCCAGCCAUGCCGCGUGAGUGAUGAAGGCCCUAGGGUUGUAAAGCUCUUUCACCGGUGAAGAUAAUGACGGUAACCGGAGAAGAAGCCCCGGCUAACUUCGUGCCAGCCGCCGCAGU
RNAcentral lists this ribosomal RNA (468 nucleotides) under uncultured Alphaproteobacteria bacterium. RNAcentral describes it as "bacterial SSU rRNA". It matches the Rfam family "Bacterial small subunit ribosomal RNA", at positions 9 to 521 of the family's 1533-position model. The record is from RNAcentral. Lineage: Bacteria; Pseudomonadati; Pseudomonadota; Alphaproteobacteria.